RNAcentral lists this ribosomal RNA (254 nucleotides) under uncultured bacterium. RNAcentral describes it as "partial 16S ribosomal RNA". It matches the Rfam family "Bacterial small subunit ribosomal RNA", at positions 524 to 776 of the family's 1533-position model. The record is from RNAcentral.
UACGUAGGGGGCUAGCGUUGUCCGGAUUUAUUGGGCGUAAAGAGCUCGUAGGCGGUUCGAUAAGUCGGACGUGAAAUCUCCACGCUCAACGUGGAGGGGCCGUUCGAUACUGUCGUGACUCGAGUCCGGUAGGGGAGUGUGGAAUUCCCGGUGUAGCGGUGAAAUGCGCAGAGAUCGGGAGGAACACCCGUAGCGAAGGCGGCACUCUGGGCCGGUACUGACGCUGAGGAGCGAAAGCGUGGGGAGCAAACAGG